AAUUCAGUAUUAAUAAGAUUCAGAAAUUUGCUGGAAACUGGCUGUUUCAGCUCUCGGUGAAACGCGAUCUUAUUACUGAACUACAGCGUGGUUUAAAAGCUGCUGCUGAUUGAGAAAAACACACCCUGUGGUGGGAGAGAAGGUCGUGAAUCAGCUCUUAAACGGCGCUGGGUGUUUGUUUUGUUUCUGAACAAGCAGGUGACGCUGCAACUGGAUUUUAUAAAGAUGUGAGAAAAGAAUGCUUUCGUCGUGGAUUUAACAUGAAAAGGUACUUCUAAGGCAGCUAGUUGAAGGCGUGAUUGAGGUCCAUGCCAGAGGGGUUCUGCACUGUGACCUCAAGCCAUAGAACAUCCUGGUUCAGAUGUACAGUUAGGAACCACGCCUUCAUCUUCUGUUCUUCUGGACCUUCCUCAUGAGUGGUUUACCCAUGAGGCCAAAUCCUCCACAGUGUUGCAGAUAGGAAUCAUCCUGCUGUGUGUGAGAGGUGACCCUUCAACACCAGCACGGAGAUCACCUCAAAGAAGUCUCAGAUCAUCUCUCCACCAUCUGCUCUAUGACCCCUGGCUAAGUAUACACCACGACACAGCCACCACAUCAGGCACACCUCAGUCAGGUACCAUAUAAAACAAUAAUAAUAAUAAUUUUAAAAAAUCUAUAUUUUCAAUCUCUAGUUUAGAGAGUUCUCUAGUAGAGCUGGGCUAUUAAUCGAUUUUAUCGAUAAAUUCGAAUUUAUAGUUUAGGACAAUGUGUUUUUAUGAAAAUCGAUUUUCUCUGAGUUUUCUUUUUCACCACAGACGCUCCUCUGUGGGCACAGAGUGAGCUUAGCUAGCUCCCUCCAUACCUCCCUCCCUCCAGCGCGCGCACCCCCCGCCCCUCCCUCACUCCCUCCCAUUUAAAUGCUUUGUUUUGCAAUUCUAGCCCAAUAGGGAAAAGUAUUUACUUAAGAGCAUAUAAAUUGUACUUGUUUUCUAUUGUCUACUUUGUAAGUUUUAUCAAAAAAGGGCACCAUUUUAUUUAUUUCUAUUUGUUUUUAAGGGUGUGUUUAUUUAUUUAUUUAUUUAUUUUUAAGUUUGAGGGUGCAUUGUGUCAGUACCUAAACUAUGUUGGAGAAAGCUUUCUAAAAGUCAAUAGAUGUUCUCACUGUUUACAAUAGUUUUUUUUUUGCUUGUUUCUGGUUGCACUUUAACCACAAAUGGAACAUUUUAAGUGAAAACAAAUUAAAUAAGAACUAGUUUUUAACCAUUUCUUUAGAUUUCUUAAAAAAUCUAAGAUUUUUUUUUUCCGGCCAUAUCGCCCAGCUCUAUACUCUAGUUUAGAGGGUUUUUUUUAUAAAACACACCUAAGGAAAAUAGCAGGUAUCAAUAAAGCUAUUGAUUCCAUACUUUUUAAAAGGUAAUGGUUUUCUUUAACUAUAUAAAUGUUUUAAUCGUUUUGUGUAUUGUAUGCUUUUAAUUGCUUCCUGUUUUGUAUUUGUGUUCAUGUACUUAAGGCUUUAAUCCUUUUAUCUUGAUAUUGUUUUUUUUUUGAUGUUUAUUAAUUACUUAACUGUAUUUAUCUUUAUGUAGUAUACUGUUAGUGUUUUAAUCCAUACACUUUUUGUAUAUAUUUCUUUUAUUGCUUAGUUACUUGCUUUAUUAAUGGUUAUUGUAUUGGUGUUUUAGUCUUAUUUUGGGCUUAUAUUCAUUAAAAACAUUUUAAUGUUUGUCUUUUAGUGCUUUAAUCAAUUAAUAUUGUACUUACCUUUUACUAUUUUACUAUUAAUCUUUCUGUACUUAAUUAUACAUUAUUUUUUAUUUAUUUUUUUAUAAAAUUAAAGGCGGGUUUAUUAAUUAUGUCUUUAUACGGGAUUUUAUAUUUGCAUUGUAUAUAUUUUUGUUUCAUUUAAUGUUUAUGCUCUUUGUCUUUUUCAGAUUUUUACAUUUUUAAUUUGUGUAUUGACCCAAGGAGUAUGGGUUCCUCUCAAGGUUUCUAUCUCUCUUUCUGAGAGAAUUUUCUUUGCCGCUGUCUCCUUUGUGCUUACUCAAAAGAGGUUUGGACACUUUUUU
Astyanax mexicanus (Mexican tetra) is the source of this 2045-nucleotide long non-coding RNA. RefSeq lists it as uncharacterized. The record is from RefSeq and is a predicted model, not a curated record. The transcript has 3 exons. NCBI's taxonomy places the organism in Eukaryota, Metazoa, Chordata, Actinopteri, Characiformes, Acestrorhamphidae.